Molecule: long non-coding RNA, 1032 nt
Organism: Lycium barbarum (goji berry)
Lineage: Eukaryota; Viridiplantae; Streptophyta; Magnoliopsida; Solanales; Solanaceae
Exons: 4
Source: RefSeq, a predicted model, not a curated record
GUGGUAUUUAAAGUUUGCCCUUUAAUAGGGACAGUUUGGUCACGGGUUUAAACUGUCACUCAGUAAAAAUUUAAACUUUUUUUACAAUGUAAAAAUUGUAAAAAAAAAUAAAAUUUCUGCUUUAAAGCAGAUCUUGCAAGGGGCAGAAUUUAUAAAUAUUACCCUUUCUGUCUCAAGAUAGAGUUAUAACUCUGCUUUUUGUCUGAACUUAUGUCUUACGAAAAAAAUUAACUCUGCUUUUUGUCUGAACUUAUGUCUUACGAAAAAAAUUAUUUUCGCUUGAGUGGACGUUUAAAUCCGUCACCAAGCGAUCCUAGCGAACGAAAAACUUUAAAUACCACCAUUUUAAAGGACAAAACUUAGAGACCACCCCGUAAUAAGAGCAUUCCUGCUAAUUGACCUUAUUACUGAGAGAAUCUUUGGUAUGCCCAUAUACCACAAGAAGCUCCGAUUUGGUUGAGGAUGCUGCGAUUGGCCGGUGUUCUUGCUAGGUAUUCUAGCUUACAAGUUUGUUCCUCUUUUAAUUUUCUAUGCAGGACGGUUUUUGGAUCAAGAGACCAAUUCAAAGGUGCAUUUGUCAAUGAUGAUCAAAGUGGAGAAGAGUUAUGGUCCUGAUUUGUGUUUCAUACAUAGAUUUGUCUGCUAUCCGUACGUGCAAUGAAGAAGUAUCUACACUGGUUUUUACGUUCUGUUGUGGUCGCUCUCUAUUCGUGUGGUUGUGUAGUCUUCCAAUUAACAGGUUAAAAAUGGUACUCAGAAUGUGAAACUUUUUGGUGCUUCAUCAACCAUUCCAAACAUUAUCAUGUUCAAAUAUUUAACUGUGAUUCUUUUUUUAUUGUUUUCAAUUUGAUCUUUAUUUUUUUGGGUGGAUAUGUUUUCUUUUGUUGGGAUACCCUUUUUACCUAAUUAGGUUUUGUUCUGUUGAAGGCAAUAUCAAUGUGUUAUUUGACCUUUUGCUGCUGUAGUUGGGUCGAGUAGAAUGUCCUUUCCAUUCUAUAUGGCUGCUUUAUGUUUUCUCAAGAAAUUAUGUUA